AGAGAAGNUUUCGAUUGUAACUUNGUCUUCGGGAAGGAAACAAAUGGCCGUUACUCGAGGGAGGAAGCCCGGCUUACUACGUGCCAGCCAGCCGCGGUAAUACGUAGUGGCAAGCGUUGUCCGGAAUUACUGGUGUAAAGGGAGCCCAGCGGAACUGCAAGUUGGGGGUUUAUCUACGGGCUCAACCCGUAUCAGCAUUCAAAACUGUGGUUCUUGAGUAAUGCAGAGGUAGGCGGAAUUCCCGGUGUAGCGGUGGAAUGCGUAGAUUUCGGGAGGAACACCAGUGGCGAAGGCGGCCUACUGGGCAUCAACUGACGCUGAGGCUCGAAAGCAUGGGUAGCAAACAGGAUUAGAUACCCUGGUAGUCCAUGCUGUAAACGAUGAUUACUAGGUGUGGGAAGAUUGACCCUUUCCGUGCCGCAGUUAACACAAUAAGUAAUCCACCUGGGGAGUACGACCGCAAGGUUGAAACUCAAAGGAAUUGACGGGGGCCCGCACAAGCAGUGGAGUAUGUGGUUUAAUUCGAAGCAACGCGAAGAACCUUACCAGGUCUUGACAUCCAACGACCGCCUAAGAGAUUAGGCUUUCCUUCGGGACGUUGAGACAGGUGGUGCAUGGUUGUCGUCAGCUCGUGUCGUGAGAUGUUGGGUUAAGUCCCGCAACGAGCGCAACCCUUAUUACUAGUUACUACGCAAGAGGACUCUAGUGAGACUGCCGUUGACAAAACGGAGGAAGGUGGGGAUGACGUCAAAUCAUCAUGCCCUUUAUGACCUGGGCUACACACGUACUACAAUGGCUAUUAACAGAGAGAAGCGAGACCGCAAGGUGGAGCAAACCUCAGAAAAAUAGUCUCAGUCCGGAUUGGGGGCUGCAACCCGCCCCCAUGAAGCCGGAAUUGCUAGUAAUCGCGGAUCAGCAUGCCGCGGUGAAUACGUUCCCGGGCCUUGUACACACCGCCCGUCACACCAUGAGAGCCGGGGGGACCCGAAGUCGGUAGUCUAACCGCAAGGAGGACGCCGCCGAAGGUAAAACUGGUGAUUGGGGUGAAGUCGUAACAAGGUAACCGUAAAGGGCGAAUU
This 1079-nucleotide ribosomal RNA is filed under the name uncultured Anaerofilum sp. RNAcentral describes it as "bacterial SSU rRNA". It matches the Rfam family "Bacterial small subunit ribosomal RNA", at positions 409 to 1512 of the family's 1533-position model. Lineage: Bacteria; Bacillati; Bacillota; Clostridia; Eubacteriales; Oscillospiraceae. The record is from RNAcentral.